RNAcentral lists this ribosomal RNA (380 nucleotides) under uncultured eukaryote. RNAcentral describes it as "partial 18S ribosomal RNA". It matches the Rfam family "Eukaryotic small subunit ribosomal RNA", at positions 592 to 976 of the family's 1831-position model. The record is from RNAcentral.
CAAUAGCGUAUAUUAAAGUUGUUGCGGUUAAAAAGCUCGUAGUUGGAUUUCUGUUGGGAACGACCGGUCCGCCCAUUGGGUGUGUAUCUGGCUUGUUCUCGGCAUCUUCUUGGUGAACGUUGCUGCACUUGACUGUGUGGAGCGCUACCCAGGACUUUUACUUUGAGGAAAUUAGAGUGUUUCAAGCAGGCAUAUGCCUUGAAUACAUUAGCAUGGAAUAAUAAGAUAGGACCUCGGUUCUAUUUUGUUGGUUUCUAGAGCUGAGGUAAUGAUUAAUAGGGAUAGUUGGGGGCAUUCGUAUUUAACUGUCAGAGGUGAAAGUCUUGGAUUUGUUAAAGACGGACUACUGCGAAAGCAUUUGCCAAGGAUGUUUUCAUUGA